GCCGCCAUAGCUCAGUUGGUUAGAGCAACUGCCUCGUAAGCAGACGGUCAGGGGUUCAAGUCCUCUCGGUGGCUCCA
Molecule: transfer RNA, 77 nt
Filed under: Pseudodesulfovibrio profundus
Lineage: Bacteria; Pseudomonadati; Thermodesulfobacteriota; Desulfovibrionia; Desulfovibrionales; Desulfovibrionaceae
Description: tRNA-Thr
Rfam family: tRNA
About the family: Transfer RNA (tRNA) molecules are approximately 80 nucleotides in length. Their secondary structure includes four short double-helical elements and three loops (D, anti-codon, and T loops).
Source: RNAcentral